Non-coding RNA from Arachis ipaensis, 320 nucleotides. The record is from RefSeq and is a predicted model, not a curated record. Lineage: Eukaryota; Viridiplantae; Streptophyta; Magnoliopsida; Fabales; Fabaceae.
GAGAGAUAGGGUUUUAANGGGGUGUGAAAGGAGUUUGUAGUGUAGAGUGGAAAUGGAUGAUGGGUGGAAUCAAAGGCUUUCAAGGGGUGACAGCAAGUAGCCAGUUCAUACCUUGCAUAUUCUGUCUUCUCUAUUUGACCCUUGUUCCUCAUAAAUAUAGCUUUAUCACCCUUUUUUAAUGCCAACUUUUUACUCUUUUUGUAUACCCUUCAGUUUUAAUUGCUUAUUUUAGUCAGAAUUUAAUUUUAAAUGGACGUGAUAUUAGUAUAUUGUACAAAUGUGUAAUACUAAUAUAUGAACUUGAGGUAUUUUUAUGUGAA